UGGGGAAUAUUGCACAAUGGGCGGAAGCCUGAUGCAGCAACGCCGCGUGAGUGAUGAAGGCCUUCGGGUUGUAAAGCUCUGUCUUUUGGGACGAUAAUGACGGUACCAAAGGAGGAAGCCACGGCUAACUACGUGCCAGCAGCCGCGGUAAUACGUAGGUGGCAAGCGUUGUCCGGAUUUUACUGGGCGUAAAGGAUGCGUAGGCGGAUUUUUCAAGUGAGAUGUGAAAUACCCGGGCUUAACUUGGGUGCUGCAUUUCAAACUGGGAAUCUAGAGUGCGGGAGAGGAGAAUGGAAUUCCUAGUGUAGCGGUGAAAUGCGUAGAGAUUAGGAAGAACACCAGUGGCGAAGGCGAUUCUCUGGACCGUAACUGACGCUGAGGCAUGAAAUGCG
RNAcentral lists this ribosomal RNA (392 nucleotides) under uncultured bacterium. RNAcentral describes it as "partial 16S ribosomal RNA". It matches the Rfam family "Bacterial small subunit ribosomal RNA", at positions 355 to 762 of the family's 1533-position model. The record is from RNAcentral.